CAGCAGCCACGGUAAUACGGAGAGUGCAAGCGUUAAUCGGAAUUACUGGGCGUAAAGCGCACGCAGGCGGUCUGACAAGUCAGAUGUGAAAUCCCCGGGCUUAACCUGGGAACUGCAUUUGAAACUGUCAGGCUGGAGUCUUGUAGAGGGGGGUAGAAUUCCAGGUGUAGCGGUGAAAUGCGUAGAGAUCUGGAGGAAUACCGGUGGCGAAGGCGGCCCCCUGGACAAAGACUGACGCUCAGGUGCGAAAGCGUGGGGAGCAAACAGGAUUAGAUACCCCAGUAGUCCCUGUCUCUUAUGC
This 301-nucleotide ribosomal RNA is filed under the name uncultured bacterium. Its description in RNAcentral is "partial 16S ribosomal RNA". It matches the Rfam family "Bacterial small subunit ribosomal RNA", at positions 509 to 809 of the family's 1533-position model. The record is from RNAcentral.